This 245-nucleotide ribosomal RNA is filed under the name uncultured bacterium. Its description in RNAcentral is "partial 16S ribosomal RNA". It matches the Rfam family "Bacterial small subunit ribosomal RNA", at positions 524 to 768 of the family's 1533-position model. The record is from RNAcentral.
UACAGAGGUCUCGAGCGUUAAUCGGAAUCACUGGGCUUAAAGGGUGCGUAGGCGGACCUGUAAGUGCUUUGUGAAAUCCCAUGGCUCAACCAUGGAACGGCUUGGCAUACUGCAGGUCUUGAGGUCGGUAGGGGUUGCCGGAACUCUAGGUGGAGCGGUGAAAUGCGUAGAUAUCUAGAGGAACGCCAAAGGUGAAGACAGGCAACUGGGCCGAUUCUGACGCUGAUGCACGAAAGCGUGGGUAG